Molecule: ribosomal RNA, 1431 nt
Filed under: Mycobacterium interjectum
Lineage: Bacteria; Bacillati; Actinomycetota; Actinomycetes; Mycobacteriales; Mycobacteriaceae
Description: 16S ribosomal RNA
Rfam family: Bacterial small subunit ribosomal RNA
Source: RNAcentral
AGUUUGAUCAUGGCUCAGGACGAACGCUGGCGGCGUGCUUAACACAUGCAAGUCGAACGGAAAGGCCCCUUCGGGGGUACUCGAGUGGCGAACGGGUGAGUAACACGUGGGUAAUCUGCCCUGCACUUCGGGAUAAGCCUGGGAAACUGGGUCUAAUACCGGAUAGGACCUCGAGGCGCAUGCCUUGUGGUGGAAAGCUUUUGCGGUGUGGGAUGGGCCCGCGGCCUAUCAGCUAGUUGGUGGGGUGACGGCCUACCAAGGCGACGACGGGUAGCCGGCCUGAGAGGGUGUCCGGCCACACUGGGACUGAGAUACGGCCCAGACUCCUACGGGAGGCAGCAGUGGGGAAUAUUGCACAAUGGGCGCAAGCCUGAUGCAGCGACGCCGCGUGGGGGAUGACGGCCUUCGGGUUGUAAACCUCUUUCAGCAGGGACGAAGCGCAAGUGACGGUACCUGCAGAAGAAGCACCGGCCAACUACGUGCCAGCAGCCGCGGUAAUACGUAGGGUGCGAGCGUUGUCCGGAAUUACUGGGCGUAAAGAGCUCGUAGGUGGUUUGUCGCGUUGUUCGUGAAAUCUCACGGCUUAACUGUGAGCGUGCGGGCGAUACGGGCAGACUGGAGUACUGCAGGGGAGACUGGAAUUCCUGGUGUAGCGGUGGAAUGCGCAGAUAUCAGGAGGAACACCGGUGGCGAAGGCGGGUCUCUGGGCAGUAACUGACGCUGAGGAGCGAAAGCGUGGGGAGCGAACAGGAUUAGAUACCCUGGUAGUCCACGCCGUAAACGGUGGGUACUAGGUGUGGGUUUCCUUCCUUGGGAUCCGUGCCGUAGCUAACGCAUUAAGUACCCCGCCUGGGGAGUACGGCCGCAAGGCUAAAACUCAAAGGAAUUGACGGGGGCCCGCACAAGCGGCGGAGCAUGUGGAUUAAUUCGAUGCAACGCGAAGAACCUUACCUGGGUUUGACAUGCACAGGACGCCGGCAGAGAUGUCGGUUCCCUUGUGGCCUGUGUGCAGGUGGUGCAUGGCUGUCGUCAGCUCGUGUCGUGAGAUGUUGGGUUAAGUCCCGCAACGAGCGCAACCCUUAUUUCAUGUUGCCAGCGGGUAAUGCCGGGGACUCGUGAGAGACUGCCGGGGUCAACUCGGAGGAAGGUGGGGAUGACGUCAAGUCAUCAUGCCCCUUAUGUCCAGGGCUUCACACAUGCUACAAUGGCCGGUACAAAGGGCUGCGAUGCCGCAAGGUUAAGCGAAUCCUUUUAAAGCCGGUCUCAGUUCGGAUCGGGGUCUGCAACUCGACCCCGUGAAGUCGGAGUCGCUAGUAAUCGCAGAUCAGCAACGCUGCGGUGAAUACGUUCCCGGGCCUUGUACACACCGCCCGUCACGUCAUGAAAGUCGGUAACACCCGAAGCCAGUGGCCUAACCCUUUGGGAGGGAGC